Molecule: non-coding RNA, 2125 nt
Organism: Phoenix dactylifera (date palm)
Lineage: Eukaryota; Viridiplantae; Streptophyta; Magnoliopsida; Arecales; Arecaceae
Source: RefSeq, a predicted model, not a curated record
AAGGAAUGCUGUAGAGGUUUGCCUAAAAAUAAAAAAAAUUGCUGGAAAAAUUUUCUUUGGUCGGGUCGAACCCAUCAUUCAUCUGGCUCAUAACCAUGAAGACUGAUCACACUAGAGCACACGUGGCAGCUAUCCCGAGUGACACAUGCCUAUGUGCCAAAGUACAUGGAAUUUCAAAAGGAAGAUCAUGAACACUUGAAUGGCAUGAUUACUUUGCAAACAAAUUAUCCAUCUAAUCUUUCCACGUAUUAGAGUUCCCUCAAGUUCCUUUCUCAGGCGGGAUAAGCCCCUCAUACACCCACAUCCAAGUCCCAGGCACCCAUUCUCUUCGUCACAGACAUAACCCCAUGUCCAAGCCUUCUCUAUUUUAGCUUCAAAACAAAGUCAUUCCCCAACUCUUCCGACAUUCCACACGGUCGUGAGUAUCACCCGCGACGGAUUCCUCCCGAGUCUAUCCAUAGCUCCAAGUCCAACAAAUUCCACAUCAUUUUCCCCUGUUCCGAGUUCAUCCUUAUUCACAAGCUUCCCAGCCAAAUGGAUACGUUCCCUCCUUCCACAAAAUCCCAGGCAACUCCAAUCCCAGCUGCCAGCCAACCUCGAGUGAUUUCCGUAUCUAACCAAAUUUUCAUGCUUUCCGUAUCCACAUUCUCCAGCGCCCACAUCUUCGGCCGUCCAAAGAACAAAUCCAAACCUCCACGAACAAAGUACGUCCCAGCCUCUCUCCGGAUCAUAUUCGUGAUCCAUCUUCAUCCCACAUCCAUCCGAAUCCCCUGCUCCACGUCCGCAGCUUCAUCCUUACGAGCUUCACGGCAUCCAAACACACUACCUUGCUUCGGAACAAAGUUUCGGAUAAGCUCUAUCCGCAUCCCCUGCAUCCCAGAUCCCAUCUUCUCCGGAUUAUUUUCAUUAGCAAGAUCUCCUUUCAGCCGUUCCAAGCUCCCGAGUUCAUCCUUAUCCAUGGAUUCAUCCCAGCGUCCGUGAGUUCUUCCCAGAGCCUCCGAGAUCCUCUCAAACCCACUAUUUUCUCAUGCGUCGAAACAGAGCAAUCUCCUUCUCCCUCGAUUCAUCUUUAUCUUUCCGAUUCUUCCGGCACCUCAUCUAAGCCGUGAACAGCACCCCAGCUUCUUCCGAAUCCCUUGUUUUCCACGCUCAUCCCAAGUGCAUCCAUUUCUUCCUCAUCCCGUUUGGAUUGACUCCAUCAUCCACAUCUGUCACAACUAUCCCCUGUUUCGGAAACAGAACAUAGUGUCCUCUUCCCAUUUCGUGGAUCACAGCCGAAACAAAUCCAAACCAGCAGCAUCCAUCCAUUUUCCGCAUGGAUCCGACUCCAUCCUCCCAGCUGCUCACCCAUGGAUCUAACUGAAAAAAAAAAGAAGCCAUCCGGAUAUCCCGCGGCCAGCCAGGAUAGCAUCCCGAACAACAACCCAGUCGCUUCUUUUUCCGCUCAUCUCUUUCCGCUUCUUCCACGCGUCCAGCUCAUCUUCAUCAGCACCAGCUUCUUCGGAUCAUCUCCCACAGAUAAGCUCCAAUCCAGUUGCAGCCGCAUCCAUUCCGGGAUAUGAUCAAGUUCAGCCGUCCACAGAUGAAGUCUUGCUUCCAAGAUCCUCCCACAUCCCCUGUUUCCGGAUUAUCUCUCUCAACCGUGAGCAUCCACGCCAUCCUCUGCAUCCUUAUCUUUGAUUCGAAAGAGGGGAGGAAAGAGAAGUGGGCAGGCUAUAAAAAGGGAGUCGAUUCGUUCCAUCUUCACCACCGGGGACUGCUCCCAUUCUUCCUUCUUCCCCAUCGGGAGCUGAAUCAUCUCUUCUCAGGUUGAGCUUCCACCAAAGUAAGAAGGGAGAGAAUACUUUGGGUCUUUUCGGGAAUGCCUUCUCAAAAGGAAAAAAAUAAUGAAUUGCUAGAGAAGGAAGGAGAGAUCCAGGGAAGGGAGGAAGAAAAGAAGAAAUGGGAGCCCGCUGCUGUGCCACUGCUACUGUCGCCUACGACUUCAUGGAAGGCUGAUCUCCUCUCUAGGGCCAGAUGCAGCCCUAACAAAGGGCUAAGGAUUUUGUAUUUUUGAUUUUUAUUCUUGGAGUUGUAUAAACUUUAUUUUACUCUUAGUGAAUAUUUCAUUUUAUCUCAUAUUUAA